RNAcentral lists this ribosomal RNA (474 nucleotides) under Porphyromonas crevioricanis. Its description in RNAcentral is "bacterial SSU rRNA". It matches the Rfam family "Bacterial small subunit ribosomal RNA", at positions 9 to 473 of the family's 1533-position model. Lineage: Bacteria; Pseudomonadati; Bacteroidota; Bacteroidia; Bacteroidales; Porphyromonadaceae. The record is from RNAcentral.
GAGUUUGAUUCUGGCUCAGGAUGAACGCUAGCGAUAGGCUUAACACAUGCAAGUCGAGGGGCAUCGGGUAAGUAGUUUGCUACUUAUGCCGGCGACCGGCGCACGGGUGCGUAACGCGUAUGCAACCUACCUGUCAGACUGGGAUAACCCGGUGAAAGCCGGACUAAUACUGGAUAUACUUAUUCUUCUGCAUGGGGGGAUAAGGAAAGAUUUAUUACUGACAGAUGGGCAUGCGUUCCAUUAGCUAGUUGGUGAGGUAACGGCUCACCAAGGCGACGAUGGAUAGGGGAACUGAGAGGUUUAUCCCCCACACUGGUACUGAGACACGGACCAGACUCCUACGGGAGGCAGCAGUGAGGAAUAUUGGUCAAUGGGCGAGAGCCUGAACCAGCCAAGUCGCGUGAGGGCAGACGGUCCUAAGGAUUGUAAACCUCUUUUUCAGGGGAGUAAAAUUAGAUACGCGUAUUAAUGCAA